This 363-nucleotide long non-coding RNA is filed under the name Homo sapiens (human). RNAcentral's name for it is "non-protein coding lnc-KRBOX4-5:1". The record is from RNAcentral. Lineage: Eukaryota; Metazoa; Chordata; Mammalia; Primates; Hominidae.
UUUGAAAUUCAAGUAACUUUAUUUAAAUUCAAAAACAAUUCUUAAAACUGCAUUUAGAGUCAAGACCCUAUUGUAUUGUAAAAAUCACAAGUAUUUCUAAGAGAGAAAAAUAGUUCUAGGUUAACUAGACCAGAUCUGACUGACUUUGGACUUUAUUCUUUAAACAAAUUGCAGAGAAUAGAGAAAAAGGUUAUUUACAGAAAACAAUAUCUACAUAUGUACUUAGAGGUACAAAUUUGGUGGCAGAAAAGACUUCAGUAUAUGCUGGCAUCUCAGAAGCAGUUCUCAAAGAGCUUAGUUUUAUUUUCUUGAAUUUUAUGAAUGCCUAAGGUCCUUCUUCAUCCUCCAUCUUGGGAGCCAAGU